AGUCCCACAUCGCCAGUUUAUAGUCCGACCUCUCCAGCAUACAGCCCAACAUCUCCUGCAUACAGCCCGACAUCUCCAUCAUACAGCCCGACAUCGCCAUCAUACAGCCCUACUUCACCUUCAUACAGCCCUACCUCUCCAUCUUACAGCCCUACGUCUCCAUCAUACAGCCCUACGUCUCCUUCAUACAGCCCUACGUCUCCAUCAUACAGCCCGACAUCGCCCUCGUACAGCCCGACAUCGCCUGCAUACAGCCCGACAUCGCCUGGAUACAGCCCAACAUCGCCGAGCUACAGCCCUACUUCGCCAAACUACAGUCCAACUUCACCGAGCUACAAUCCUUCUUCGGCCAAGUACAGCCCUUCACAUGCUUAUUCUCCAAGCAGCCCAAGGAUGAUGAGCCCAUACAGUCAGACUUCUCCAAACUACAGGUACUGACCGUGACCUGGCACUCCUCUGGUAUUCUGUUCAUUGCUCGCUAUACUUAUUUUGCUUACAUCUGUUUCCCCAGCCCAACAUCACCGACUUACUCGCCCACCUCGCCGUCGUAUGCACAACCAAGUCCGUCAUACAGCCCGACA
RNAcentral lists this long non-coding RNA (581 nucleotides) under Brachypodium distachyon (stiff brome). Its description in RNAcentral is "long non-coding RNA (BDIS_LNC003090)". The record is from RNAcentral. Lineage: Eukaryota; Viridiplantae; Streptophyta; Magnoliopsida; Poales; Poaceae.